Molecule: ribosomal RNA, 608 nt
Filed under: uncultured bacterium
Lineage: Bacteria
Description: bacterial SSU rRNA
Rfam family: Bacterial small subunit ribosomal RNA
Source: RNAcentral
AGCGCUGUAGCAAUACAGAGCGGCGCACGGGAGAGUAAUACAUGGGAACCUACCUAAUGGUUCGGGAUAACGUCGGGAAACUGACGCUAAUACCGGAUAAUCCCUUCGGGGCAAAGAUUUAUUGCCGAUAGAUGGGCCCAUGUUGGAUUAGCUAGUUGGUGAGGUAACGGCUCACCAAGGCUACGAUCCAUAGCUGGUCUGAGAGGAUGAUCAGCCUCACUGGGACUGAGACACGGCCCAGACUCCUACGGGAGGCAGCAGUGGGGAAUAUUGGACAAUGGGGGCAACCCUGAUCCAGCCAUGCCGCGUGAGUGAUGAAGGCCUUCGGGUUGUAAAGCUCUUUUGCAGGGGACGAUGAUGACGGUACCCUGAGAAUAAGCCCCGGCUAACUUCGUGCCAGCAGCCGCGGUAAUACGAAGGGGGCUAGCGUUGUUCGGAAUUACUGGGCGUAAAGGGCGCGUAGGCGGCUUGGCAAGUUGGGUGUGAAAGCCCAGGGCUCAACCCUGGAAUUGCACUCAAGACUGCUUUGCUUGAAUUCGGUAGAGGUUGGUGGAAUUCCCAGUGUAGAGGUGAAAUUCGUAGAGAUUGGGAAGAACACCCGUGGCGAA